UACGUAGGGUGCGAGCGUUGUCCGGAAUUAUUGGGCGUAAAGGGCUCGUAGGCGGUUUGUCGCGUCGGGAGUGAAAUCCCGGGGCUCAACCCCGGGCCUGCAGUGGAUACGGGCUGGCUGGAGGCAGGCAGGGGAGAACGGAAUUCCUGGUGUAGCGGUGAAAUGCGCAGAUAUCAGGAGGAACACCGGUGGCGAAGGCGGUUCUCUGGGCCUGUUCUGACGCUGAGGAGCGAAAGCGUGGGGAGCGAACAGG
Molecule: ribosomal RNA, 253 nt
Filed under: uncultured bacterium
Lineage: Bacteria
Description: partial 16S ribosomal RNA
Rfam family: Bacterial small subunit ribosomal RNA
Source: RNAcentral